UAUCGCUGGCUUCACCAUCAAUCAUGUUUCUCUCGUCUGAUGGGUUCUCGACCUUUCUCUCUUCCUCUGAACUUAAUGCAGAAGACAAAUGCUCUAGUUGAUCCUUUGGUUCUUUUUCCUCCAAGACACCAGUGGCCACAUUAUCCUCACUAUGGUCGUUUGCAUUACCAACUUCGUCCCCCAUCUGUGUGAGCUCCUUAGUUUCAACUAGCUUCAUAGACAAAUCCUCUUGCUGAACCGAAAUGGUCUUAUCGCUGGCCUCACCAUCAAUCAUGUUUCUUUCGUCGGAUGGUUUCUCGGCUUUGGCAUCUUCCUCUGAACAUAAUGCUGAAGACAUAUGCUCUAGUUGAUCCUUUGAUUCUUCUUUUUCCUCCAAGACACCAAUGGCCACAUUAUCUUCAGAAUGAUCGUUUGCACUACCACUUUCCCCCAUAUGUGUGGGCUCCUCAGUGUCAACUAGAUUCCUCGACAAAUCCUCUGGUCGAACCAAAAUGGUCAUAUCGCCGGCUUCACCAUCAAUCAUGUUUCUUUCGUGAGAUGGGUUCUCGGCCUUGGUCUCUUCCUCGGAACUUAAUGCUGAAGAC
Molecule: long non-coding RNA, 584 nt
Filed under: Eutrema salsugineum
Lineage: Eukaryota; Viridiplantae; Streptophyta; Magnoliopsida; Brassicales; Brassicaceae
Description: long non-coding RNA (ESAL_LNC001975)
Source: RNAcentral